This is a non-coding RNA of Triticum urartu, 135 nucleotides long. The record is from Rfam. NCBI's taxonomy places the organism in Eukaryota, Viridiplantae, Streptophyta, Magnoliopsida, Poales, Poaceae.
CUGCUACUCCCUCUGUUCCAAAUUACUUGUCUUGGAUUUGUCUAGAUACAGAAGUAUCUAAUACUAAAAUGAGUCUAGAUACAUCCGUAUCUAGACAAAUCUAAAACAAGUAAUUCGAAACGAAGGGAGUAUAUA